Molecule: ribosomal RNA, 484 nt
Filed under: uncultured bacterium
Lineage: Bacteria
Description: partial 16S ribosomal RNA
Rfam family: Bacterial small subunit ribosomal RNA
Source: RNAcentral
AUUGAACGCUGGCGGCAUGCUUUACACAUGCAAGUCGAACGGCAGCGCGGGCUUCGGCCUGGCGGCGAGUGGCGAACGGGUGAGUAAUACAUCGGAACGUGCCCAGUGGUGGGGGAUAGCGCGUCGAAAGCCGGAAUGAUACCGCAUACGACCUGAUGGUGAAAGGGGGGGGUCUUUGGACCUCGCGCUAUGGGAGCGGCCGAUGGCAGAUUGGCUAGUUGGUGGGGUAAAGGGCCACCAAGGCGACGAGCUGUAGCUGGUCUGAGAGGAUGACCGGCCACACUGGGACUGAGACACGGCCCAGACUCCUACGGGAGGCAGCAGUGGGGAAUUUUGGACAAUGGGCGAAAGCCUGAUCCAGCACUGCCGCGUGUGUGAUGAAGGCCUUCGGGUUGUAAAGCACUUUUGGCGGGAACGAAAAGGACUGUGCCAAUCCCACGGUUCGAUGACGGUACCCGCAGAAUAAGCACCGGCUAACUACGUG